Molecule: ribosomal RNA, 488 nt
Filed under: Uroplatus fotsivava
Lineage: Eukaryota; Metazoa; Chordata; Lepidosauria; Squamata; Gekkonidae
Description: partial 12S ribosomal RNA
Rfam family: Bacterial small subunit ribosomal RNA
Source: RNAcentral
ACCAGCUUGAAACUCAAAAGACUUGACAGUAUCUCACACACACCUAGAGGAGCCUGUCCUAUAAUCGAUAACCCACGAUAAACCUUACCUGCUCUUGAACUGAUCAGCCUAUAUACCUCCGUCGCCAGUCCGCCUGCCAACAGAUGCCAAAGCGCAUACAACAGCCCUAUCACUCACACGACAGGUCAAGGUGUAGCUAAUGGGCUCAGGGAGAGAUGGGCUACAUUUUCUCCGUUAGAAAACACCAAAGAUGCAAUGAAAUAUGGCUCGUAAGGCGGAUUUAGCAGUAAGCAGGGCUAGAUAAGCCCUCCUGAAGCCUUCCAUGAGAUGUGUACACACCGCCCGUCACCCUCCUCACAGACACAUAAACGUAACUAACCCCCAAUAAAAUAAAGAUGAGGUAAGUCGUAACACGGUAAGCGUACCGGAAGGUGCGCUUGGCUAGUCUCAAGGUGGCUUAAAAUUAAAGCGUUAGGUUUACAACCUAG